CCUANGGGUGGCAGCAGUAAGGAAUAUUGGUCAAUGGACGCAAGUCUGAACCAGCCAUGCCGCGUGGAGGAUGAAGGUCCUCUGGAUUGUAAACUUCUUUUAUCUGGGAAGAAAAAGGACUUUUCUAAGUCAACUGACGGUACCAGAUGAAUAAGCACCGGCUAACUCCGUGCCAGCAGCCGCGGUAAUACGGAGGGUGCAAGCGUUAUCCGGAUUCACUGGGUUUAAAGGGUGCGUAGGUGGGCAGGUAAGUCAGUGGUGAAAUCUCUGGGCUUAACCCGGAAACUGCCAUUGAUACUAUCUGUCUUGAAUACCCUGGAGGUGAGCGGAAUAUGUCAUGUAGCGGUGAAAUGCUCAGAUAUGACAUAGAACACCCAUUGCGAAGGCAGCUCACUACAGGAAUAUUGACACUGAGGCACGAAAGCGUGGGGAUCAAACAGGAUUAGAUACCCGGNUANUC
This 460-nucleotide ribosomal RNA is filed under the name uncultured bacterium. RNAcentral describes it as "bacterial SSU rRNA". It matches the Rfam family "Bacterial small subunit ribosomal RNA", at positions 338 to 795 of the family's 1533-position model. The record is from RNAcentral.